Molecule: long non-coding RNA, 251 nt
Organism: Rhagoletis zephyria (snowberry fruit fly)
Lineage: Eukaryota; Metazoa; Arthropoda; Insecta; Diptera; Tephritidae
Source: RefSeq, a predicted model, not a curated record
AAUAAUUCGAAAUAGUCUAGCUACCUUUUUUUUUUUUCUAAAAAUUUCUUUUGAAAAUUUUUCUUUCCAGAUGCACGGGCAGCUGCUGAUGUCGACGGUGUUGGGGUUGCACAAUCGGAAAGCGAAGUGGGAGAAACACCACAUUCAUAAAGAUCGCCCGAUGAUGUCUCUAUAGAUAGUGCCACUAUUUCACUAUUAUCUGGAAUUUAAAAAGUACAUACAUAUGUACAUUAUACUACAUCACUCUUCAU